UGGUUGUGAAAGGAUCCAGGGAAAUUGUUUUUCAUGAUUGGUUGAAAGGUCAAUUGACAUCUCGUCCCAUUUUGCUUUGUUGGAAAGCACACAUAGUAAAGGUGAAGUGCCUGUUUACUUGUUAGUAAACUUAAUUGAUGUAGUGUAAUUGAAGAUUUAACUUAGAACUGGAUUCCUGCGAGAACUCUUUUCAUGUUUCUAGUCUUGUUGAGUCCGGAUCAAGACAGGAUCUCCAGCAAGUUUUUUUAAAGAGUUAAUCUCCAACGAGUAUUGAAGAGACGCAGCUCAAAAUCUUGCCAAGUCGAGUUGAAUGAUAGGGUAAUUAGGUUCUCAUUGUCCUUUUCUAAAGUGUAAAUCUUACUAAUUGUAUUCAAUAUGUGCAGAGAAAAGCAGUUGUAUAGCACGUACUUGGGAACGAACCUGCUGAUGUUUACAGAGAAAAGCAGUUACAACACAUCGUGGUCCAAGAUGAAGUCCUAGCCAAUAGGUUGGGCCUUAUUCCCAUCAAAGCUGACCCAAGGCUGUUCGAAUAUGUUUCAGGUACUUCUUCAAGGUCUUUCUUCAAGGGAUUUGAUUUGUGGAAGGAAGAAACUGUAAUGAAGGUAAAAAAUCAAAGAUAAUAUGGUUUGCUAAAUCUGUUUCAGGCAUAUGAAUUACUAAAGAAUAAGCGGAGAAUUGUGAAAUCUGAACGUUUGAACUUUUUAACUGUCAAAAUGCAAAAGGUUGUCCCUCCUGAAAGACUUUUCAAUGAUUUAGAUUAUAGUAAAUGAUUUCCUUGGUCAAGGAAGGUUUCUGGAUUAUCUUUUGUUGUUUGACAGGAGCAUGAAUGUUGACCAUGAACAAAGCCUUUUAACUAAGCUGAAGCAACAAUGGGGCGGCCAACUUAUGUUGUAGAUGGAAGGAAUGGUCUGUCAUAUACUAACUACUUGCCUGAGCUAGUUGCAUGCAUGCGUGUGUUUUCUUCUUCUUUCUAAAAGGGAUUUCUUGGUGGUGUUCUUUCAUGUUUUUCUGGCAAUGCAGGUUACUAAUUUUCCAUUAGCAAGGGAGAAUCAACAGAAUGUUUUGAAGCUCCAUGCCCAUUUCCAUCUUUAUAUUGCUAACAGAAUGUCCUUUACCUUCACUAUGGUUUUAUUUAGGAUGAUGGUUUUCAUAUCUUUUCUUUUCUUUUUCAAACUAUUCAACAGUCUAUGUUUGUAGCUUGCUCAGCUCCAAGAUACAUACAUGUUGCAUCAUAUUCUAAUUAGACCAAGCUAUUCAGGAUGAUGGUAUUUUAAUUAGA
This is a long non-coding RNA of Magnolia sinica, 1279 nucleotides long. RefSeq lists it as uncharacterized. The record is from RefSeq and is a predicted model, not a curated record. NCBI's taxonomy places the organism in Eukaryota, Viridiplantae, Streptophyta, Magnoliopsida, Magnoliales, Magnoliaceae. The transcript is spliced from 3 exons.